GAUUCAAUUUGCUCAUCAUACUCAGGGUGAGUACAUGUAAUGCAUGGUGGUGAUCUUGCAUUUAGGAGUUUUCUUUCCCAUACAGGAUCUUUCCCUUCCAUUGAAGAAUUAUAUUUGUAAAACAUUAUUGUGGGCAUUUGGAAAUGAGUACUCCCUUGAUCAUCUAUAUCAGAAAUAUGUUUUGUCUCAAAAGUUUGCAGGCCUGAACAUGAGAGGGGGUGUUCAAUUCCACAUCGGUGGGACGAGGGUUUCGUGGUCUUUUUAUAUGGUCUUGGGCAAUCCUUACUUCAUGAGCUAGCUUUUGUGUUUAGUUAGGUCCGAGGUCCAUUUUUAUUAUGGUAUUAGAGGCAGGUUUAUCCCAAUUUAUUGUUAUCGAUAUUGUGUCCCCAUUUAUGUUGUCCAUGCUCCAAAGCAGGCCUGAACGUGAGGGGGAAUAUUGAAUCCCACAUCGGUGGGAUGAGGGUUUCGUGGUCUUUUUAUAUGAUCUUGGGCAACCUCACCUCAUGAGCUAGUUUUGAGAUUGAGUUAGGGUCAAUGUCCAUUUUGUCGUCCUGCAUGACGAUUAUUGGCAAGAAAAAUAUUGAAUAAUCUCAUAAAUGGUCAUUCAACUCUUA
Molecule: long non-coding RNA, 614 nt
Organism: Nicotiana attenuata
Lineage: Eukaryota; Viridiplantae; Streptophyta; Magnoliopsida; Solanales; Solanaceae
Exons: 3
Source: RefSeq, a predicted model, not a curated record